This 509-nucleotide ribosomal RNA is filed under the name Salmonella enterica subsp. enterica serovar Stanley. RNAcentral describes it as "partial 23S ribosomal RNA". It matches the Rfam family "Bacterial large subunit ribosomal RNA", at positions 2236 to 2744 of the family's 2925-position model. The record is from RNAcentral. Lineage: Bacteria; Pseudomonadati; Pseudomonadota; Gammaproteobacteria; Enterobacterales; Enterobacteriaceae.
UGAUCCGGGUUGCGGACAGUGUCUGGUGGGUAGUUUGACUGGGGCGGUCUCCUCCUAAAGAGUAACGGAGGAGCACGAAGGUUGGCUAAUCCUGGUCGGACAUCAGGAGGUUAGUGCAAUGGCAUAAGCCAGCUUGACUGCGAGCGUGACGGCGCGAGCAGGUGCGAAAGCAGGUCAUAGUGAUCCGGUGGUUCUGAAUGGAAGGGCCAUCGCUCAACGGAUAAAAGGUACUCCGGGGAUAACAGGCUGAUACCGCCCAAGAGUUCAUAUCGACGGCGGUGUUUGGCACCUCGAUGUCGGCUCAUCACAUCCUGGGGCUGAAGUAGGUCCCAAGGGUAUGGCUGUUCGCCAUUUAAAGUGGUACGCGAGCUGGGUUUAGAACGUCGUGAGACAGUUCGGUCCCUAUCUGCCGUGGGCGCUGGAGAACUGAGGGGGGCUGCUCCUAGUACGAGAGGACCGGAGUGGACGCAUCACUGGUGUUCGGGUUGUCAUGCCAAUGGCACUGCCCG